Molecule: small RNA, 246 nt
Filed under: Salvator merianae (Argentine black and white tegu)
Lineage: Eukaryota; Metazoa; Chordata; Lepidosauria; Squamata; Teiidae
Description: 7SK RNA (ENSSMRG00000021060.1)
Rfam family: 7SK RNA (bases 1-189)
About the family: 7SK was discovered as an abundant small nuclear RNA in the mid-70s but a possible function has only recently been suggested. Two independent studies have found that 7SK RNA binds the CDK9/cyclin T complex (known as elongation factor P-TEFb). P-TEFb activates transcription by phosphorylating the C-terminal domain of RNA polymerase II.
Source: RNAcentral
ACAUAUUAGGGUGAUUUGGCUGUGGCAUCUGUUACUCCAUGAAUUGCCAGAGUUGAUUUUGCUGAUCUGGGUGACUAGAUAGGUGUCCCCUUUCUCCUUCACUCUCUGUAUCCAAGUCCCAAGCUGUGUGGUUGGUGGAAAAAAAAAAGAGGACAACCAUCUCAGAUUGAAGAAAUGUCAUCAUUCAACAAACAUUAUUUAUUUCGUACCACUUAGGCUGCAUACAGGUGUUGCUUAUCCAUGCUU